UCGAGAUUCUUUCGGGGCUCUUAAAAGACUAUACGAAAAAUAAGCACAUAGCAUUCACCGGAGACUGGGCGAAGCGCAAAAAAAGAAGAAAACAGUGCACAGUUGUAGCUUUUCCCCUUGUACUUAAGUAACGCAUAGCUAGGCUUAAAAUUUUUUUGCUCUCGUUUUCGGAAGGUGGACGUUGAUCGUUUUCGCGUUCUGCGUUGAUUGAAAGUGAAUAUUCCAGAAUAUUGUUUCGCGAAAAGUUAGCAGUUUAGUGAUCGGUUCACGUUCGUAGAAACUGAAUGAGUGCUCGUUUGAAGGAAUUUCCGAAACAGAUUGAGCUCUCUGCGCAGCAGGCAUAAAGUAGAAAGAUACUCCUACAGAACCGUCGACGACGAAGACACGCCGAUUGCACUCGAGGGGGGGCCUGUUGAGCCGCAAAAAGCGAAGAAGUGCGUGAAAGAGGAAACGCAGAGUCACGAGUGUGUUUUAUGUGGCCGAGCGAGCACAGUGAGCCGAGAAUUCGAGCACGGGUGUGACCGAGUGUGUUGGUGAGGCGCUUCCAAUCGCGAGUGUAGUGGCGAAUUUUUGAAAAUCGUUGUUUUCCGAUUUUUUAUCAUUGUUUUUUUCAUUUGGAAGUAAAGGGUUGUUUAAAACGAGUGAAGAAAGGAAGAAACCGAAUUACUGAGCGAAUGCGCUAGAGAUAGGAAAAGGCACGUCGAGUUGAAUCACGAAAAUUCCUCUACGUACACUAGUACAAAGAAAGUGGGUAAAUAGUGUGGCUGUACUGCGGCCGCAAUCGAGUAUUAACUAGGAACGUGCAGGAAUUGCUGGAGGGAUGGAGAUGCGCUACUAGUUUACAAAAAUAAACGAGUGUGGAACAAAAGUGCAAACGUGAACGAUUCAAACAGUACCCAAAGAAAGAGAGAAAGAGAAAUACAGUAAGGCCAAGUGUUCUGCAGCAUAACAGGACCUCGAAGAUCAUUCAAAAUGAGCACGUAUUGCAAUAGUGUCAGCUCGGACAAUAAUUCCCAGACCACGCAGAGCAUUGCGGACUAUCUGGCGCAGUUACUUAAAGAUCGGAAACAGUUGGCCGCCUUUCCGAAUGUGUUCAACCAUGUUGAACGCUUGCUGGAUGAAGAAAUUUCUAAAGUGAGGGCUUCGUUGUUCCAAAUCAAUGGAGUGACCAAAGAACCCCUGCAACUUCCAGAGGCCGAAGGGGAAGCGAUCACGUUGAACGAGAAGGUUUACGUGCCCGUAAAAGAACACCCUGAUUUCAACUUUGUUGGACGAAUUCUUGGACCAAGAGGUAUGACAGCGAAGCAGCUCGAACAGGAGACUGGGUGUAAGAUUAUGGUCCGGGGGAAAGGCUCGAUGCGCGAUAAGAAAAAAGAGGAAGCCAACCGAGGCAAACCGAACUGGGAACAUCUUUCCGAUGAUUUACAUGUGUUGAUCACAGUUGAAGACACGGAAAACCGAGCUGGAAUCAAAAUCAAACGUGCUCUGGAAGAGGUCAAGAAACUGUUGGUUCCCCACGCCGAAGGAGAAGACGAACUCAAGAAACGCCAGCUUAUGGAACUCGCAAUAAUCAACGGUACCUAUCGGGAUUCCAGCACGAAGGCCGUUCCCACCGAGCUGAACUUCGAAACAGCGUACGAUGGCUGGAAACAACUGGCCGCUGAGCAGCGCCUCAUGAACCCUGCAGCCUUUACCGGUUUAACGACGAACCAUCUGGCUGCCGCUGCAGCGAGAAACGCUGCCAACCCGCUCGGUGCUCCGCUGAUCCUGUCACCAAGAAUCUCUGUGCCAACCACUGGCGCCAGUUUAAUCACCGGUACGGCUCCUCCGACGAUCGAUCACACCACCGGUCUGAUAUACACCACCACGCCGUACACCGACUACGCCAGCUACGCCACCCUAGCCGCUGGGAACCCGCUGCUUACGGAAUACGCCGAUCACAGUUCUCUAUCCUUGUUCCAGGUCAGACAGUUUUGAUGGACCCGAUGGGACAAUCUACCGCCGCCGCCGCCGCCGUACUACUCAUUCCGUACUGGUACACCCCCUCCCCCGAACUGAACGGACAGGACGAAAUCGCUUCCCCCUACUUGCACAACACAAGCCCUGGGGGACGACAACCCCAUCGUGCCAUCACUUUCUACCCAUCCGAUCCCGAUCGUACCCGUGAGUGAGUGCCAUGUGAAGUGCUUGACGUGUCGUCCAUUUCACGACACAAUUCACAAGUCAUCGAAUCAAAUCGUCUAUAUUAAUCUAGUGAGCUGGUGCAACGGCUGACUGUGAGCACACAGAAAUAGUGUGAGAGAAAGAGAAAGAGAGAGAAUGUGUGUGUGUAUUUAGAAGCAAAAGAAAGCCGCUUCAGUUGUGUUUUCUAGAGUUUAACGAAGACAAGUUUUAGUAUUCUAUUAAGUAGCUAUUUAAAUUGAUAUCACAUACAAUGCAGUAGAGACACCUACACAAUUGUUAGAUAAAUUAUUGCAGCAAAUUACCAAGUUUACGAUACAUAGAGGAAUGAACGCGAACAAUGUAGUUCAAGUUUACUUAUAUGCUUAAGGAGGACACGUACUUCACCUGCAUUGCUGAAGAAUUGUACACGAAUCGAAUGUGGAUGGAUUCUUACCGGCAACCGUCAUUUUCUCAAUACAAAAAGAUUAGCACACCCAGAAACUGCGCCAUAUAGCCGAACCGUCGUCGUCGUCGUCGUCAAUGGUCGUUACCAAGAAAACCGGUUGCAUCCGGAUGCGCAGCGACACUCGUAUAUUUCCAAUUCGCAACAUAUUUCGAACCGUUGUUCCGGGUGCAGUACAUCUCAUUGCAGCACGUUCAACGAGAGACAUAUUCGUGAGACAAUGCAGCGGCGAGUGAAAAAUAACAAAAAAGAAAAAAACACAAUGUCCAGCUAAGUCGAAUGCGCCAGAAAAGAGAAAGGAGCCUGUGCGCGAACCGAUCGUCACCGAUCGCGCAAAAGAAAGCAAUAAAGAGAAAUGCAAAAAAGGGAAGAGAAAAACAUUCGAGACACAAAGAAGCUACAAAAACAUGAAUUAACUUUGUGGAUGUAGAAAAAAUAAACGUAAACACCAGUUUUGGAUUGAUGAGGAGACAUUCCAUACAAACCGUUAUAAAAACCAGAAAGUUGUGCGGAGUACGUACCGCGUUUAAAACUGGCAACAACAGCAACAGCAACAGCAACAGCAGCAGCAGCAGCGGCUAAAAACUGUCCAAGGUGCUUUCGAAGCGACUAAAGAGAGUGCCCAUAUCGUAUCGCCCCUCCUCCCCUAGCUACUCCUCGACAUGACUGACCUUCUUCGACCAACGCGCUGGGAAUAUGACAUACGUCGAGUUUACCGUACUCAGAGUGGUGCAUUGCAUUGCAUUGCAUUGCGCUGCUGCAGUGGGUAGUUGUGAAGGCUGCAUCAAGAUCGUCGAAGCAACUUAGCCAUCAUCAGCAUUCGGCCGGUCGUGCUCGGUCCGGUUGUUCGAUUCUUUCGGAGCGAUGUAGUGUGAAUUCGCACUGGAUUAUGCUGGGAAAGUAGCCCAUCAUGCCAGGUACCCCGCUGGCUGACAAGGGUGGAUGAGGUGGUGAUGGUGGUGGUGGUGGUGCACUUUAAAACGCAAUUAUAGUCAGUUGUUUACCUAUAUUCAUAAGAAAUCGACCCAAAAUUGCAGUUUACACAAAACCAGUUACCAAGUAUCUGAGAUCGUUGGACUAUUCUCUUUGUACCGCACUUAUAGGUUAGAUACAUUCUUAGAUUUAGUAUACUAUAAAAUAUGUGAAAUAAACAGACCAGAGGUGAGAACGUUUUAUACUCCAGUAAGGGAUGACAUGGUACUUCCACGACGUUUUAGUUUAUAGAUUUCGAAUAAUGUUUCAUAGUUGCUUUGUUAGAAUGUGGCAAACUAGUCUAUAUUAAACUUAGAUGUCUAGGGACAUGAACCGUAUCGAACAUCUUUUCAUAUAUGUACUGUAAAUUGUUUAGUAUUUAAU
Sabethes cyaneus is the source of this 3982-nucleotide RNA transcript. It is a transcript of the gene named protein held out wings, with no coding region annotated. The record is from RefSeq and is a predicted model, not a curated record. The transcript is spliced from 4 exons. Lineage: Eukaryota; Metazoa; Arthropoda; Insecta; Diptera; Culicidae.